Podarcis raffonei (Aeolian wall lizard) is the source of this 924-nucleotide long non-coding RNA. RefSeq lists it as uncharacterized. Lineage: Eukaryota; Metazoa; Chordata; Lepidosauria; Squamata; Lacertidae. The transcript has 2 exons. The record is from RefSeq and is a predicted model, not a curated record.
CCCUUUGACCUGUUUGCAUUUUCCCACUUCCCAUGGCUACUCUGCAGAAUUGGAGAAGUGGCUGGACUGCCUUUGCCGUCUCGCUUCCCCAGACUUGCCUAAGCAGGGCUCAUCACUCAUGUAACACAUUGCUCAGCAGAGUUUGAUUUCGAAUUGUUUUAACAUUAACAUCUUGAAACGCGAGUCUUUUAAAAGCGGCUUUUUGGCACUUGUGUCCAUUGAAUGAAUUCCAUUUUUAACAUUUUCUGUGUUGUGGAAGUUUUAAGGAAAUUAAUAUUUUCUAGUAUUAACUUGAUUUACCUGUUGUUUGAAAGAUUCUUGCAUUUUAAGGACUUUUUCCCCCCUUAAAGGAAACCCAUUAGUAUUGGGGGGACACAGAAUCUCUUUGUUAAACGUUGGGGGGGAAGCGCUUUGCUUUUUUAAUUUGGUGGGAAAUAUCAAAUUGACAUAUUUUCGCAAAUCUUUAUAGGAAAAUGUAAAAAGGAAAAUUCUGCUUUGAUGUACCUUUUUGAAGCUUGAGUUUGAGCUGACUGCACUUGAACAUAUCCUGAUUGAUCUCACCCGGAAGCUGACCUGGUACUUGGCUUCAGUCUAAAAAUAUCCAGUGAAAUUGACCUUGAACUUGAGAUGCACAGGCACAGAACUGCAGAGUUUCCUCCAGUUUAGCUCAUCCUUCACCUUAUCAUAGGAAUGUUGGUCAAAAUUGUUGCUGGUUUGAACAUCAAUAAAACUGUCAGUAUCACCUGUCUAAACCCCCGUUUUCUUCGAUGAACCAUGAAAUUGACUACUGCCUUCCCCCUCUCCCCUCAUAACAAUCCUGUCUCCAGUCCCACUCUUUCCUCAGCACAUGCCCACUGCAGAGGGAUCAGGAGUAUUGCCUCUAUGCCUCAAAAAUAAAUUCCGAAGCCAUAAAUUACUGCUAAA